RNAcentral lists this small nuclear RNA (161 nucleotides) under Eurypyga helias (sunbittern). Its description in RNAcentral is "U1 spliceosomal RNA". It matches the Rfam family "U1 spliceosomal RNA". From Rfam's summary of the family: U1 is a small nuclear RNA (snRNA) component of the spliceosome (involved in pre-mRNA splicing). Its 5' end forms complementary base pairs with the 5' splice junction, thus defining the 5' donor site of an intron. The record is from Rfam by way of RNAcentral. Lineage: Eukaryota; Metazoa; Chordata; Aves; Eurypygiformes; Eurypygidae.
AUACUUACCUGGCAGGGGAGACACCAUGAUCAGGAUGGUGGUUUUCCCAGGACGAGGCUCAUUACUUGCACUCUGGAUUUGCUGACCCCUGCAAUUUCCCCAAAUGCAGGAAACUUGACUGCGUAAUUUGUGGUAGUGGGGGUCUGUUAGCUCUGUUUUUA